RNAcentral lists this long non-coding RNA (2855 nucleotides) under Homo sapiens (human). Its description in RNAcentral is "HSALNT0348616". The record is from RNAcentral. Lineage: Eukaryota; Metazoa; Chordata; Mammalia; Primates; Hominidae.
AAGAAAAUGUUUUCCUUAAAUAAUACUUGUAAGAUAUUUACUGGAAGAAAAAAGACAAAUUUAGGUGUUCAUUCAUUUGUUCAGUAAUUCAGCUUUAGCCUAGCACCCAUUUCCCAGGGUAGGUUUGGGAUAUUAAUAGGAUUUAAUUAGAAUUAGUUUUUCACUUUUUUCGAACACUAUUUUUAAGAAAUCACUUGGUCCUUUAUGAAUUCUCUAGAUAUUUUUCUGCCUCAUUUACUAAAAUAAAUAAAAUAGUUAAAUAGUUAUUCGGGUUUUUCCAAUCAAGAUGCUGCUUCUUACGUAUCCUUUCUUUUUAUUUUCUUUUCUCUAAUAUCUUUUGGAGGACUGUGAUAUGAAAGAAAGAUCAUCGGACUACAAGGUAAAGGAUAAAUCUGAGACACAGAUUUGCUCUUUUCUAACUGGGUGACCUUUUGAGCAAGUUAUUUCACUUCUCUGGCCUAAGUAAAAAUGGGAUAUUGGAUAAGAUGUUUCCAGAAAUCCCUUACUUCUAAGGUUCUAUGAUCUCCACUGGAGAUGGGCUAAAUUUUCCUACUACUCCCCUGGUCAAAAACCUAAAAUGAUUCUCUGCAGUCUACUAUAUCAAACAAUAAACUGCUAUACCAGCUCACCACAAUUAGUCCUCACCCAGGCCUCUGUCCAUGACUUACUUUUAAUGUGCUUCCUCUAUCUCAGGUAUGUGGCACGCGCCAUCCUCUAGCCAGAUGUGACACUUUCUCAUGCCACUGCUCUCCUAGGUCAUGCAGGUAUGCCUCUCACUCACUCCAACCAAACCUCGCCCUCCUGGCCUGCAGAGGUACAUCUCCUUGAGACCUCCUCAGACCACCUUGGCCCACCUUGACUUUCUCAGAUUCUAAGUGGCUCAGUGAAAUUAAGGAGAAGAUGGAUUUAUUUAAAAAUAGAGUUAAGAGGAGAUGAUAACAAGAGAAGAAAUGAAAAGGAAGCUGGCAGAACCAAGAAAAGAUGUUAAGGAGAAAAAUAAAACCAUUGCGCAACUGAAGACCGCAUGUAGGCACUGCUUGAGAAAAACACACUAUGUAGAGGGAAAGGACAUGAAAUGAAAGUGAUUAGAGAGAAGAGGAGAGAUGUAGGGGACAGACAACUUCAGCAAGCUCACAUCAGGAUGUUAUCCAUUCAGUCAUGCAUCCAUUUGGUAUUCAUUCAGCAACUGCUAAAUGUUAGGUCCUAUGUCAGGAAUCAAGGAUGCAAAGUACCCCCAAGAAGCUCAGAAGGAGUAGAAGGAUGUUACCAGAUGCUGGGAAGGGUACUGGGGUAGGGGGCGGUGAGGUGGGGAUGGUUAAUGGGUACAAAAAACAGGAAGAAUGAGUAAGAUCAACUAUUUGAUAGCACAACAGGGUGACUACAGCCAAUAAUAACUUAAAUGUGCCUUUAAAAAUAACUAAGAGUAUAAUUGGAUUGUUUGUAACGCAAUUAUAAAAGCUUGAGGGGAUGGAUUCCCCAUUCUCCAUGACGUGAUUAUUAAACAUUGCAUGCCUGUAUCAAGAUAUCUCAUGUACCCCAUAAAUAUGUGUACCUAAUAGGCACCCACAAAAAUUAAAAAUUAAAAAAUUUUAAAAGGGAAGCUGAGAAGAAGUAGAGAAAGCAACCACUAACAAGCAGAGCACAGCCUGUUCAAUCUCUAAUAGAGGUGUGCUCCGCAAAACCCCAGGGAAUAGAGAAGACAGAGUACAAAUCUGUCUAGGGUAGGGACUGUACUUGUUUGCUGUGGCCGUUGUACCAAAUUACCACAAAACAUGGUGGCUUAACAUAACACAAUUUAUUCUCUCACAGUUCUGGAGGCUAGAAGUCCAAAUUCAACUUUAUUGGGCUGAAAUCAAAGAGUCAGGAGGAUACCUGUGAUGGCAUUUAGGCCCACCUGGGUGAGCCAGGACACUCUCUCCAUCUCAAGAUCCUUACUUGAAUCACAUCUGCAAAGCCCUCUUUCUGCCAGGCAAGAAGCAGGAUUGCAGGCCACCUUUUGCAGGCCCAGCCCAGGUUUGGAACAAGGCUUCCUCUGCAAAAGCUGGAUGCUGUGAGCUCUGUCAGCUGCAAUGCUCUACCCCACACCUGCCUGGGUUUCCGGAGUGCAUACUCUAUUUGGGAGCAAUGCCUGCCUUGAACUCCAACAGUAUUUUGUCAGCAUCUUUCCCCAAAGACUAAACUCUACAGCCUAUAUCAAGUAUCAGCCACUGGAGAAAGCCGAGAAAUGGAGAAAUUGAGAAACUUGGCAACACAUCCAGUAAAGAGCUGAAGCUUUUAUAACAGCACAAUACAGGAACAAAAAGGAUAGCUUUGGGGAAUGCCAGCCUUUCCAAGGUCUUCAGUCAACUGAUGAGACCCACCCACAUUAGGGAGCAUAGUCUGCUGUACUCAGUCUACCAAUUCAGCUAUGAAGCUCCUCCAGAAACUCCCGCACAGCCACAUCCCAAAUAAUGUUUGGCCAAAUGUCUGGGUACCCUGUGGCCCGGUCAAGUGGACACAUGAAAGUCACCAUCACAGUGGGGUCCUCAAGGAAAGGAAUGAAAGAGACAAUCCAGCUUUGCAUUUAGCACUGAUGCAAUGGCCUGUGAAACCAGACGUGACAAACGUGGCAAGUAGAAGUGUCACAGACAUAAAUUUGAGCAUUUCUCAGAUUUUUCUUUGCCUGGAGUUUGAUCUCAAUAGUCAUUCAAUUUGUCCCUUAGGACAAAUUUAUUUUCUCUCUUUCUUCUCUCCUCAUUCUCCUCCAUCACCAUUAUCAUCAUCAUUGUCACUGUCAUAAUCAACAUCCAAAGUGUAUGGAGUGCCUGCACUCACGUGGCUCUGUACCAAGAAGGAAUUUGGAAUUCAUGGAGGAA